Empidonax traillii (willow flycatcher) is the source of this 1366-nucleotide long non-coding RNA. RefSeq lists it as uncharacterized. The record is from RefSeq and is a predicted model, not a curated record. The transcript is spliced from 2 exons. Lineage: Eukaryota; Metazoa; Chordata; Aves; Passeriformes; Tyrannidae.
UUGUGGUGGUGCGCUUAAUCAAACAGUUGGGCACACAAUCUGCUAUUUUUGAGUGCAAUUUGUUAAUAUUUACCACUUUCUUUUUCCCUAAACGAUAUUAACAGCCAGAGAAACGAGUCCCUGGAAACGCUUUCCUCUUCUUCCCCUUUUUUUCCUCUUUUCGAGUCAAUGAACAGGCAGCGAGCGGCGGUUUCUGCGGCACCAGUGCCAUCUGCUGCCCCGCCCCGGCAGCACAGAAGCCGCACGGAACUUUCCUCACUGAAGUGUCCAAAUAACAGCAAAGCAAAAUAUUUUUUUUUUUUUUUAAUUUCUUGGGGGACAGCCCGAUCCCACAGCAUGCCCUGCAAAGCUCCUGCUGGCCGAGCAGGUCAGUAAUAUUUACGUGACAUUUUCCAUCAGAGAGGUUCUAAAAUCCUGGCUUUCUCUGCUGUAGUGAAAAAGGAUAAAACCAGCACAGGGAAAAAAACUGGUAUGAUUCUGAUUAAGUGCGGCCACUAAUGUAAACAGUGAAGUGGGAGGCUGUCAACUUGCUCCCCAGAAACACAUCCAGCACCUCUGUUGGAGCAUCUCAUGGGGCUGAGAGGGCUGAGAUACAGGUGUGGUGGCUGACCAGGACAGUAUAUUAAGAAGAGUGUAGCUGCAUUUCCUAGAUUUAUAUUUCUAAAUCAUGUCUUUAGAGUAAAGGAAUAUCUCAUCUUCCAGGAUCAUGUUCUGUCAAGCUGUCACAAUAGCUUAAUUUACAACCAAUUAAGACACAUGCACUGUUAAUUUUGCAUGCACAAACAAACUUUGCUUGCUUGCAUUUGUGGGAAUAUGCUUAGGGGUUUUUUUAAGAGGAGAGGGUUUUUUUCUCUUCACCACAGUUUGACAGAAGUCCUUCUGAUGUCUUACAGAGCAGCAGUGUCCUACAAGACCAGAGCCUGAGAAACAUCCCCGCAGAUGGAGCUGCAGGGAUCCUUCAUUUAUCAACUACCUGAUUCAUUUGAUGUGGACCAAUACUUGCUCUUGGCUUUGCUCUCUUUGCUCUUUGUUUUUUGUUGUGGUGGUUUUGGUUUUGGGUUUGGGUGUGUUUGGUUGUGUGGUUGUUUUUUUUUAAUUUAUCUUGUGUUUAUAAUAUCUGCAGUAGAUUCUUUUAUGUAUAAAAACAUAAAAUCAUGUAUUGUACACAGGUAGUAAAAACACUGAUUUGCUACUGCAGUGUUUCUCAAACUAGUUGAGUUCAUUUAGGCAAUGUACUUUAUCAAAGCUGUGUUUUGCCCACAGCAAAACAAACCGUCAGCUGUUACAGAAGAAUAAUUAUUUUUCAUAUUAAAAUGUGGCUAUAUGACAGCUCAUUGUAUCCAUUAAAACAACUACCUAUUCUUCA